AUUUAAAUAGCUUAUAUUUAGAGCAUGAUAUUGAAGAUAUCAAGGAAACAAUUGUUGUUUUUAAGUA
RNAcentral lists this transfer RNA (67 nucleotides) under Sphaeridium bipustulatum. Its description in RNAcentral is "tRNA-Phe". The record is from RNAcentral. Lineage: Eukaryota; Metazoa; Arthropoda; Insecta; Coleoptera; Hydrophilidae.